UCCGUAGGCGGUGCGGCAAAGUCGGAAGUGAAGUCUCAGGGCUUAACCCUGAGGCUGCUUCCGAAACUGCCGUGCUCGAGUGCGAGAGAGGCGAGUGGAAUUGCAGGUGUAGCGGUGAAAUGCGUAGAUAUCUGCAGGAACAUCCGAGGCGAAAGCGGCUCGCUGGAUCGCAACUGACGCUGAGGGACGAAAGCUAGGGGAGCAAACAGGAUUAGAUACCCUGGUAGUCCUAGCCCUAAACGAUCAGGACUGGGCGUGGGCCUCGUACGGGGCUCGUGCCGCAGCUAACGCGUUAAGUCCUGCGCCUGGGGAGUACGGUCGCAAGGCUGAA
Molecule: ribosomal RNA, 331 nt
Filed under: uncultured bacterium
Lineage: Bacteria
Description: bacterial SSU rRNA
Rfam family: Bacterial small subunit ribosomal RNA
Source: RNAcentral